UACAGGGGGUGCAAACGUUGCUCGGAAUUAUUGGGCGUAAAGCGCGCGUAGGCGGUGACUCAAGUCGGAUGCGAAAGCCCUUGGCUUAACCGAGGAAGUGCAUCCGAAACUGAGUCGCUAGAGUACGAUAGAGGGUCGCGGAAUUCCCGGUGUAGAGGUGAAAUUCGUAGAUAUCGGGAGGAACACCGGUGGCGAAGGCGGCGACCUGGGUCGAUACUGACGCUGAGGCGCGAAAGCGUGGGGAGCAAACAGG
RNAcentral lists this ribosomal RNA (253 nucleotides) under uncultured bacterium. RNAcentral's name for it is "partial 16S ribosomal RNA". It matches the Rfam family "Bacterial small subunit ribosomal RNA", at positions 524 to 776 of the family's 1533-position model. The record is from RNAcentral.